This 487-nucleotide ribosomal RNA is filed under the name Selenomonas sputigena. Its description in RNAcentral is "bacterial SSU rRNA". It matches the Rfam family "Bacterial small subunit ribosomal RNA", at positions 28 to 492 of the family's 1533-position model. The record is from RNAcentral. Lineage: Bacteria; Bacillati; Bacillota; Negativicutes; Selenomonadales; Selenomonadaceae.
GAUGAACGCUGGCGGCGUGCUUAACACAUGCAAGUCGAACGGGAACCUUUAUUUCGGUAAAGGUGAGAGUGGCAAACGGGUGAGUAACACGUAGGCAACCUGCCGACAGGAUGGGGACAACAUUCCGAAAGGAAUGCUAAUACCGAAUGGAGUCCGGAGAUGGCAUCAUCUCCGGAUAAAAGAUGGCCUCUGAAUAUGCUAUCGCCUGUCGAUGGGCCUGCGUCUGAUUAGCCAGUUGGCGGGGUAACGGCCCACCAAAGCGACGAUCAGUAGCCGGUCUGAGAGGAUGAACGGCCACAUUGGGACUGAGACACGGCCCAGACUCCUACGGGAGGCAGCAGUGGGGAAUCUUCCACAAUGGGCGAAAGCCUGAUGGAGCAACGCCGCGUGAGUGAAGAAGGUCUUCGGAUCGUAAAGCUCUGUUGCACGGGACGAAAACCGAGCUUGAGAAUAUUGAGUUUGGGUGACGGUACCGAGCGAGGAAGCC